CUCCGUCAUCCUGUUUUAUUCACAGCAGGUUUUAAGGAUUCAACAUAUUUUGGAGACACACACACACACUGCCCAGCUCACCCAAACUCAUUCACACUCCCUCUCUCUCUCACACACUCACACAGUGGUAGGUAGGCACACUGUAGAGCUCAGAUGUGUCGUCUGACAGUCGAUCAACAGUAGGCACUUCUGAAGCAGACAGUGAUGAUCAUUCAUGGUUUUGUUCAGCUGCGUCACGUCACACCUCCACUCACUUUACUCACUUCAACCUGCGUCUCUGGCCGCGGUCAUUUGAUUUAUCCGUUAUGUCGGGAUACUAAUUAGGGAUGAUUUAGCACUUUUCCAUAACAACAUCUGAAAAAACAAGCAGCUAUUCUCUGGUUAAAAUCUCUGUAAUAUAAAAACACAAACCAGGAGAGCAGCUGUCUGGUGGAAGUCAGAUGUUGGAACAGAACCACCUCCAGCCUGUAGUGCUCACACUGGAGCAGAGACGGACGUGAACGCAUCUGUUUUUUUCUUUUUGUCUGGUCGGAGCUCAGAGCGGCUGAACUUCAGGUCGGAAGAGAAAAUCUAAUGUUUGAAGAAACCUGCAGUGUGGAGAACAGGAGGAGAGCUGUGAACGAGUCCCAAUCAGUAGAGAAAGAGGAAGGGAUGCAGGUUAACUCUCUGAACUCCAAACAGUUUAACGGUGUCAAUAUAAAGUCCUGCACCUCAGUGGAAACAGCACAACACUGUAGAAGGAAAGUGGAUUCAAAAACUUAAUUUUGUGCAAAUUUAUAAAGUUAGAAUGCCAAUCACAAGCUCAUAAGUGUUAGAAUACUGUCUAAUCUGAAGACAACUGAACUGCAACACUCCGUUUUAUCCGUGUCUGUCUUUGAAAAGCCUGUUUUAAAACCAAUUUGACCAGUUUGGAUGUUUGAUCCUUGCAGCUUUUUCUUCACAUGUCCUGGGAUUAUUCCAUUUAGACAUUAAUGAAGUAAAAAUAAAUCAGAUUUUCUGUUCUGUUCUGUUGUUUCAGCCUCGGACGAAACUAAAAGCUCAUGCACAUGAAAUCAA
Long non-coding RNA from Amphiprion ocellaris (clown anemonefish), 1056 nucleotides. Lineage: Eukaryota; Metazoa; Chordata; Actinopteri; Pomacentridae. The record is from Ensembl.